Molecule: ribosomal RNA, 496 nt
Filed under: uncultured bacterium
Lineage: Bacteria
Description: partial 16S ribosomal RNA
Rfam family: Bacterial small subunit ribosomal RNA
Source: RNAcentral
GAUGAACGCUGGCGGCGUGCCUAAUACAUGCAAGUCGAGCGAACAGAUGAGGAGCUUGCUCCUCUGACGUUAGCGGCGGACGGGUGAGUAACACGUGGAUAACCUACCUAUAAGACUGGGAUAACUUCGGGAAACCGGAGCUAAUACCGGAUAAUAUAUUGAACCGCAUGGUUCAAUAGUGAAAGACGGUUUUGCUGUCACUUAUAGAUGGAUCCGCGCCGCAUUAGCUAGUUGGUAAGGUAACGGCUUACCAAGGCAACGAUGCGUAGCCGACCUGAGAGGGGGAUCGGCCACACUGGAACUGAGACACGGUCCAGACUCCUACGGGAGGCAGCAGUAGGGAAUCUUCCGCAAUGGGCGAAAGCCUGACGGAGCAACGCCGCGUGAGUGAUGAAGGUCUUCGGAUCGUAAAACUCUGUUAUUAGGGAAGAACAAAUGUGUAAGUAACUAUGCACGUCUUGACGGUACCUAAGCAGAAAGCCACGGCUAACUACGU